AGAUUAAUGUUUUUAAUAAUUAAUAAAGUUUUUGUCUUUUUUACAUGUAUAACUGCAGGAGGACCACGCUGACCAAAUCAACAGCACAUUCGCAAUAGUUAACGGAAGAUACUACAGGACAGCUGUAAACAAUAUUAUUAAGCAGGUGCUCAUAAAGAUGGAAAUCCCAGACCAUUCUGGUACAGAAGAGGUCGAGUAUAGUUUGAAAGGAAUGAAGAUUCAAUUAGGAAAUUUUGAAUCAAAGCAGAAGUUUGUUUCUGGAACUGGAGUCAGAAUAGCAGUUCAAAGCACCGA
Molecule: long non-coding RNA, 294 nt
Filed under: Sinocyclocheilus anshuiensis
Lineage: Eukaryota; Metazoa; Chordata; Actinopteri; Cypriniformes; Cyprinidae
Description: lncRNA (ENSSANG00000043237.1)
Source: RNAcentral